UUAUAAGAGACAGCAGUAGCCACGGGAAUACGUAGGUGGCAAGCGUUGUCCGGAAUUAUUGGGCGUAAAGGGCUCGCAGGCGGUUUCUUAAGUCUGAUGUGAAAGCCCCCGGCUCAACCGGGGAGGGUCAUUGGAAACUGGGAAACUUGAGUGCAGAAGAGGAGAGUGGAAUUCCACGUGUAGCGGUGAAAUGCGUAGAGAUGUGGAGGAACACCAGUGGCGAAGGCGACUCUCUGGUCUGUAACUGACGCUGAGGAGCGAAAGCGUGGGGAGCGAACAGGAUUAGAUACCCCGGUAGUCCCUGUCUCUUAUAC
This 314-nucleotide ribosomal RNA is filed under the name uncultured bacterium. RNAcentral describes it as "partial 16S ribosomal RNA". It matches the Rfam family "Bacterial small subunit ribosomal RNA", at positions 499 to 807 of the family's 1533-position model. The record is from RNAcentral.